Molecule: ribosomal RNA, 430 nt
Filed under: Nocardioides sp.
Lineage: Bacteria; Bacillati; Actinomycetota; Actinomycetes; Propionibacteriales; Nocardioidaceae
Description: bacterial SSU rRNA
Rfam family: Bacterial small subunit ribosomal RNA
Source: RNAcentral
CAGGACGAACGCUGGCGGCGUGCUUAACACAUGCAAGUCGAGCGGAAAGGCCCUUCGGGGUACUCGAGCGGCGAACGGGUGAGUAACACGUGAGUAAUCUGCCCUCCACUUUGGGAUAGCCACCGGAAACGGUGAUUAAUACCGGAUAUGACCUGUGCCCGCAUGGGUGUUGGUGGAAAGUUUUUCGGUGGGGGAUGUGCUCGCGGCCUAUCAGCUUGAUGGUGGGGUAAUGGCCUACCAUGGCUUCGACGGGUAGCCGGCCUGAGAGGGUGACCGGCCACACUGGGACUGAGACACGGCCCAGACUCCUACGGGAGGCAGCAGUGGGGAAUAUUGGACAAUGGGCGGAAGCCUGAUCCAGCAACGCCGCGUGAGGGAUGACGGCCUUCGGGUUGUAAACCUCUUUCGGUGGGGACGAAGCGAAAGUGAC